Molecule: ribosomal RNA, 500 nt
Filed under: uncultured bacterium
Lineage: Bacteria
Description: bacterial SSU rRNA
Rfam family: Bacterial small subunit ribosomal RNA
Source: RNAcentral
GGGGGAUAUUGCACAAUGGGGGAAACCCUGAUGCAGCGACGCCGCGUGGAGGAAGAAGGUUUUCGGAUUGUAAACUCCUGUCGUACGGGACGAUAAUGACGGUACCGUACAAGAAAGCCACGGCUAACUACGUGCCAGCAGCCGCGGUAAAACGUAGGUGGCAAGCGUUGUCCGGAAUUACUGGGUGUAAAGGGAGCGCAGGCGGGUUGUCAAGUUGGAAGUGAAAUCUAUGGGCUCAACCCAUAAAUUGCUUUCAAAACUGACGAUUUCUUGAGUAGUGCAGAGGUAGGCGGAAUUCCCGGUGUAGCGGUGGAAUGCGUAGAUAUCGGGAGGAACACCAGUGGCGAAGGCGGCCUACUGGGCACCAACUGACGCUGAGGCUCGAAAGCAUGGGUAGCAAACAGGAUUAGAUACCCUGGUAGUCCAUGCCGUAAACGAUGAUUACUAGGUGUUGGAGGAUUGACCCCUUCAGUGCCGCAGUUAACACAAUAAGUAAUCCU